This is a long non-coding RNA of Oreochromis aureus, 556 nucleotides long. RefSeq lists it as uncharacterized. The transcript is spliced from 5 exons. Lineage: Eukaryota; Metazoa; Chordata; Actinopteri; Cichliformes; Cichlidae. The record is from RefSeq and is a predicted model, not a curated record.
AUGACACCGUUAGCCAGCAGUGUGUCUCCUGAAAAGAGAGCUGAUUAGAGAGGCAGUUUUGAAUUUAGGAGUGGCAAGAUGGCAGCGGCAAACCCUGGCGGUUCUCCGGGUUCGUGGCAACCACGGAUGGGGAAAAUGUGGAGGUUGCACGGCUGAUGUUUACUGUUCAUGGCACAGGAAGAGGCAGUUUUAUUUCAGGAAUGAGUGUGCACAAUCAAAGAAUAGAGCGACUGUGGAGAGACCUCUGGGUGGCCAUUACAUGCUUUACUACGAUGUUCUUCACAACCUUGAGGAAGAAGACCUUCUUGACAUUUCAAAUGCUGCACACCUCUUUUGCUGCCAUUACGUCUUUCUUCCUCGACUGGAGGAUGAUUUUAAUACAUUUUGCAGUGGAUGGGACAACCAUCCACUGCGAACAGAAAACAACAUGAGUCCCAACCAGCUGUGGGAGUUGGGUCACAGAUAUCACCCUGUUCCUGUUCCAGAAAACACACAGCUUAUCACACAUUUGAUUUCCAUGUGUGACGACUGCAAGUGUCCAGAGUGAGGACAGACU